GACACGGCGCAGGACGUGAAAAGCCAUCCAGCCUUCGGAGGGGUGAGACGCCGCGAGGAAACGAGAAGAAACAGCGAGAACGUUGAGCGAGACGCGGCUGAAACAGUGACGGCGAGGCCGAGAGAGGCUUAACCCCGAGAGGCGAGCGAGUGGAAGCAGCUGGAAGUUCGCCUGGUGAGCCCGCCGCCACUUUGUGAGUGAAUAGGACCUGAACAGUCGCGAAAGUGACAACUAACUCUGCGAGAGUCGAGACGAGGUCGGUUGAAUUUCCGCGGUGCCCGGUGACGAGCUUGCGGUUGUGGUCCCACCUGCCAGGACUCUCUCCUCCACACCUCCGGCUUCUCGUUAUCCCCUGGAAAAAACACGGACGAGCUCGCAGCGUCUGCAACAGCGAGGAGCAGCAGGAGGAGGAGAAGACGAGGGGGAGAGCGGGCACAAAGAGCGGAGAGCAUCCAGAGAGAGAGAGAGGGGAGGAAGGAAGGAGGACUGAGGCUCUGAGGGAGGACAACGACGGGGACCCGACGGACAGCAGAGCAUCAUCCCUCCGCGCGGGCAACACUGUGCUCACAAGCGAACGUCUGUGAACGACUGGUCCAGCGUCGGUCGCUCCUCACCAGGGAUACCUGCUCCGGAUCGGUUUGCCCCUCAGCCCCCGCCGUCACCCAGUCACCCUCUCCACUCUGUCCCGAUGAAGGAGGCCGACGCCAUCAAGCUGUUUGUGGGCCAGAUUCCCCGGAAUCUGGAAGAGAAGGACCUCAAGCCAAUUUUCGAGCAGUUUGGCAAAAUCUAUGAGCUAACUGUGAUUAAGGACAAAUACACUGGCAUGCACAAAGGAUGUGCGUUUCUGACGUACUGUGCGAGGGAGUCGGCACUGAAAGCCCAGAGUGCUCUGCACGAGCAGAAGACACUACCAGGGAUGAAUCGGCCAAUCCAGGUGAAACCAGCUGAUAGCGAGGGCAGAGGAGAGGACAGGAAGUUGUUUGUGGGCAUGCUGGGAAAGCAACAGAGUGAUGAGGAUGUCCGAAGGCUGUUUGAGCCUUUCGGCAGCAUAGACGAGUGUACUGUGUUGAGAGGACCCGACGGCACCAGCAAAGGGUGCGCUUUUGUAAAAUUCCAAGGACACGUUGAAGCCCAGGCUGCCAUCAACAGCUUGCACGGAAGCCGCACAAUGCCUGGAGCAUCGUCAAGUCUGGUGGUGAAGUUCGCCGACACAGAAAAGGAGCGGGGGCUGAGGAGGAUGCAACAGGUGGCCUCCCAGCUCGGCAUCUUCAGCCCCAUGACCCUCAAUUACCCCGCCUACAAUGCCUACACACAGGCGGUCAACGCACAGCUUGUCCAACAGCAGGCCCUGGUUGCCCAGUCAGCAUACUUGUCUCCUGUGGCAACAGUUGCCGCCGUACAGAUGCAGCAGAUGGCAGCACUCAAUGCCAACGGAAUCAUCGCCACACCCAUUACACCCAUCACACCAUCCUCGGGUACAAACACUCCACCAACUAUUGCAGCAACGCCUGUACCAGCUCUCCCUCCACCAAUAGGAGUGAACGGUUACAGCAGUUUGCCAGCCCAAGCUAAUGGACAGCAAGCAACAGAAACACUAUACACAAAUGGUGUUCACCCAUAUCAAGCUCAAAGUCCAGUAGCAGCCUUGGACCCUUUACAGCAGGCGUACGCUGGUAUGCAGCACUACACAGCGGCGUACCCUGCAGCUUACGGAUUGGUUGGGCAGCCGUUCCCCCAGCAGCCAACACUGGUUGCCCAGCAACACCAGCAACCCCAGCAACAGCAGCAGAGAGAAGGUCCAGAGGGGUGUAACAUCUUCAUCUACCACCUGCCCCAGGAGUUCAGUGACUCUGAGAUGCUGCAGAUGUUCCUGCCCUUUGGCAAUGUCAUCUCAGCUAAAGUGUUUGUGGACCGUGCCACCAACCAGAGCAAAUGCUUCGGAUUUGUGAGUUUUGACAACCCAGCCAGCGCUCAGGCCGCCAUCCAGGCCAUGAAUGGUUUCCAGAUUGGCAUGAAAAGACUGAAAGUGCAGCUCAAAAGGCCUAAAGAUGCCAACCGCCCAUACUGAUUGACAACCAAGAGGAGGAGGAAGAAAUAAAGAGAGACCCUUCCGUCCAAUCAUAAUUCACGAGGACCCCAUCGCUAUGGCAAUGGUUGCCUAGUGACCGAUAAAGCCCUGACCCCCCCUUCCUCUCGCAUUGUUGUGACGCUUCAGAGUCCAGCCGAGGUGGAAUCCCAGGGUUCACUGUGCUUUCAGACUGUCUGCUACCUUUGAGUGUCCGGAGAGUGCAGCCACACACACGCACACAUGCACGCACACACACGCACACAUGCACGCAAACACACACAAACACACACACACACACACACACACACACACACAUGCACUCUCAACACUGAACCUCAAACGGUACAAGGCUGAUAUACAAAUGUACAUAAAGUGCACAAACACGCACACACAGACAAACACACACACACACACACAAACACACACGUCUGCCGACACUCACACAGAUACACAUGGUUCACGUGAAUCCGUACUCUUACCCAUACAGCCGAGAGCUUGGUUUGACGAUAGUCUGUGUGGAGUUUGCCAACAGGGUGUUUAGUUCAGUCAAGACAACUCAGACCAAGUGUGUAUGGAAUUUACUGACGAAAAAUGCUGAUAUAUCACUUCAAUAGACUCAAACAUGUCUAUACCAUGUCUACUACAUGACAAAUAUAGAGGGACCGAACUUUCAUAAUAAAAAAAAAAGAAAAUGCAAAAAAAAAAGACAAUUAAA
Molecule: RNA transcript, 2783 nt
Organism: Scophthalmus maximus (turbot)
Lineage: Eukaryota; Metazoa; Chordata; Actinopteri; Pleuronectiformes; Scophthalmidae
Gene name: CUGBP Elav-like family member 3
Exons: 15
Source: RefSeq, a predicted model, not a curated record